GAUGAACGCUGGCGGCGUGCCUAAUACAUGCAAGUCGAACGCUUCACUUCGGUGAAGAGUGGCGAACGGGUGAGUAAUACAUAAGUAACCUGGCAUCUACAGGGGGAUAACUGAUGGAAACGUCAGCUAAGACCGCAUAGGUGUAGAGAUCGCAUGAACUCUAUAUGAAAAGUGCUACGGGACUGGUAGAUGAUGGACUUAUGGCGCAUUAGCUUGUUGGUAGGGUAACGGCCUGCCAAGGCGACGAUGCGUAGCCGACCUGAGAGGGUGACCGGCCACACUGGGACUGAGACACGGCCCAGACUCCUACGGGAGGCAGCAGUAGGGAAUUUUCGGCAAUGGGGGAAACCCUGACCGAGCAACGCCGCGUGAAGGAAGAAGUAAUUCGUUAUGUAAACUUCUGUCAUAGAGGAAGAACGGUGGAUAUAGGGAAUGAUAUCCAAGUGACGGUACUCUAUAAGAAAGCCACGGCUAACUACGUG
Molecule: ribosomal RNA, 482 nt
Filed under: uncultured bacterium
Lineage: Bacteria
Description: partial 16S ribosomal RNA
Rfam family: Bacterial small subunit ribosomal RNA
Source: RNAcentral